AUACAAAAAUUCUCUUCCUUGAGCGUCGUGACAACAGUAUACAAAAAAAAAUUCGUUUGGUAUGAACAAUAACACAAAUGGAAUCAUAUAAAAUCUAAAAGUCUAUUAUCGGGUUGAAACUGUCAAGAUCUGGUUCUUAGUUCUGUCCAAUUCGGGGUAAAAAUGUCUUAAUCAUGAGUAAAUAUUUGUCACUAUUCUUGAGGGCACUUAAUAACUCUCUGUUUAGACAUGAUGGAUAUGAAUAAUAAGGAAGAAAAGCGAACAUUUUGGGUGCCAAAUACCACCAGCAUCUCUGACCAACCGUCUUUUGGGAAGGCAGAUGUAUUCUCCUCUUCAUUCUAAUUGGACGAUCACUGUUUAUGAAUGGGAAAAGUGAAAAACGUUGCCGUUUUCAGCUUCAAUUUCGACAUUCUUUAUACAUUGCUUUCUAGUACACAGUGAAGCAUAUUUCCUUAAAGAUGGCUUAUAAUAUAUAAUAUGUAAAAAAAAUGUAAAUGUGAAACACAAACAAUAUUUUAUCAAAUAAAUUUUUAUUCAACAUUUCGACAAAUAUUUUUCAAAUAUUAAUUUUAAGUAAUUUGUAACUGAAUUUACAAAUACAUAGAACAUGCAUCAAUAAGUAUUAUAUUACAAAAUAUUACAAAAACUAGUGUCAAGGCCAUAAAAAAAUAUUUGGAACAUUUGAGAAAUUUCAUCAUAGAAUGUGGAAAAUAUAAAUAAUAAACACAUAAAAAAAACAGAAAAGAUCUUUAAAUAACUACCCAAGAAUAUAUUACAAGAUUUCUCUUAUCUAAAUAUACUAACAAAAUCAGUACAAAUGGACGGUUUCUUCUGAGAUUAAACAAUAAGAAUGUUAAUGUUAAUUGAGUAUUUUUUUUACCCAAGCUUGAUCCUCAUUGUGGUUUCCUGAACAACAUUGUCUACAUUGAACACAACACUGUUCCAAGAACAAAUACAUAUAGGGAAGUACAGAUUAAAUUUGUCAAACAAACACAAUUCUUUAGUCAUAAUUCUAACUGCAGAUUUGAUAUGAACAAUACACAACUUUGUCGGUGUUUCACUGUCAUGAUUUAGAUAUAAAAAUAUACUUUUAAAAACUCAAUUGUAUAAUAUAGACUACGUACUUUCUAACAUCUCUACAAAAAUAUUUCGGUUUACCUAUCUAACAAUAAAAGUAUUCUCUAUCGAUGGCUUGAACAAAAUGUUGCACCAACAUUUCACAAUGAUGAAUUAGCAAAGAAACCAAUAACAUUCAUCGAUGUUGUAUACAAAUAGUGUGAAAUUUCCAAACUAAAAUUUGAUGAUUUUAACUUGAAGGACAUAUCGAAAAUGUUUACGUUCUAUACAAAAAUAUAUGGUAAGGACAAAUUUGUAAUUACAAAAAGCUGCGAUCUCCGAACUAUUUAUUUCAUUCGAUAUGACUCUUUAUCACGUUAAUAAAUUCCAUUUAGACAAUUGACUA
Harmonia axyridis is the source of this 1462-nucleotide long non-coding RNA. RefSeq lists it as uncharacterized. The record is from RefSeq and is a predicted model, not a curated record. The transcript has 3 exons. NCBI's taxonomy places the organism in Eukaryota, Metazoa, Arthropoda, Insecta, Coleoptera, Coccinellidae.